GACGAACGCUGGCGGCGUGCUUAACACAUGCAAGUCGAACGGAAAGGCCCUGCUUUUGUGGGGUGCUCGAGUGGCGAACGGGUGAGUAACACGUGAGUAACCUGCCCUUGACUUUGGGAUAACUUCAGGAAACUGGGGCUAAUACCGGAUAGGAGCUCCUGCUGCAUGGUGGGGGUUGGAAAGUUUCGGCGGUUGGGGAUGGACUGGCGGCUUAUCAGCUUGUUGGUGGGGUAGUGGCUUACCAAGGCUUUGACGGGUAGCCGGCCUGAGAGGGUGACCGGCCACAUUGGGAUUGAGAUACGGCCCAGACUCCUACGGGAGGCAGGAGUGGGGAAUAUUGCACAAUGGGCGGAAGCCUGAUGCAGCAACGCCGCGUGCGGGAUGACGGCCUUCGGGUUGUAAACCGCUUUCGCCUGGGACGAAGCGUUAGUGACGGUAAUGGGUAAAGAAGCACCGGCUAACUACGUG
This 468-nucleotide ribosomal RNA is filed under the name uncultured bacterium. RNAcentral describes it as "partial 16S ribosomal RNA". It matches the Rfam family "Bacterial small subunit ribosomal RNA", at positions 28 to 507 of the family's 1533-position model. The record is from RNAcentral.